Molecule: ribosomal RNA, 429 nt
Filed under: Pseudomonadota bacterium
Lineage: Bacteria; Pseudomonadati; Pseudomonadota
Description: Proteobacteria bacterium partial 16S ribosomal RNA
Rfam family: Bacterial small subunit ribosomal RNA
Source: RNAcentral
UGGGGAAUAUUGGACAAUGGGCGAAAGCCUGAUCCAGCCAUGCCGCGUGUGUGAAGAAGGUCUUCGGAUUGUAAAGCACUUUAAGUUGGGAGGAAGGGCAGUAAGCGAAUACCUUGCUGUUUUGACGUUACCGACAGAAUAAGCACCGGCUAACUCUGUGCCAGCAGCCGCGGUAAUACAGAGGGUGCAAGCGUUUAUCGGAAUUACUGGGCGUAAAGCGCGCGUAGGUGGUUCGUUAAGUUGAAUGUGAAAGCCCCGGGCUCAACCUGGGAACUGCAUCCAAAACUGGCGAGCUAGAGUAGGGCAGAGGGUGGUGGAAUUUCCUGUGUAGCGGUGAAAUGCGUAGAUAUAGGAAGGAACACCAGUGGCGAAGGCGACCACCUGGGCUCAUACUGACACUGAGGUGCGAAAGCGUGGGGAGCAAACAGG